GAUGAAGAACGCAGCGAAAUGCGAUAAGUAAUGCGAAUUGCAGAAUUCUGUGAGUCAUCGAAUCUUUGAACGCACAUUGCGCCCUGUGGUAUUCCGCAGGGCAUGCCUGUUCGAGCGUCAUUUCAACCCUCAAGCCUCGCUUGGUGUUGGGCCCUGCCCGCCGCGGCCGGCCCUAAAGAUAGUGGCGGCGCCGCCUGGCCCUCAGCGUAGUACAGCUCUCGCUCCAGGGUCCGGCGGCAGCCUGCCAGAACCCCCCAACUCUGUGGUUGACCUCGGAUCAGGUAGGGAUACCCGCUGAACUUAAGCAUAUCAAUAAGCGGAGGA
This 324-nucleotide unclassified non-coding RNA is filed under the name soil metagenome. RNAcentral describes it as "partial contains 5.8S ribosomal RNA, internal transcribed spacer 2, and large subunit ribosomal RNA". The stretch from base 1 to 120 matches the Rfam family "5.8S ribosomal RNA", at positions 35 to 154 of the family's 154-position model. The record is from RNAcentral.